This 270-nucleotide ribosomal RNA is filed under the name uncultured bacterium. RNAcentral's name for it is "partial 16S ribosomal RNA". It matches the Rfam family "Bacterial small subunit ribosomal RNA", at positions 78 to 354 of the family's 1533-position model. The record is from RNAcentral.
CUUUUGAUGGCGACCGGCGCACGGGUGAGUAACACGUAUCCAACCUGCCUCAUACUCGGGGAUAGCCUUUCGAAAGAAAGAUUAAUACCCGAUGUCAUAGUCCUACCGCAUGAUGGGAUUAUUAAAGAAUUUCGGUAUGGGAUGGGGAUGCGUUCCAUUAGUUAGUUGGCGGGUAACGGCCCACCAAGACAACGAUGGAUAGGGGUUCUGAGAGGAAGGUCCCCCACAUUGGAACUGAGACACGGUCCAAACUCCUACGGGAGGCAGCAG